RNAcentral lists this ribosomal RNA (42 nucleotides) under Trichoderma asperellum. RNAcentral describes it as "partial 18S ribosomal RNA". The record is from RNAcentral. Lineage: Eukaryota; Fungi; Ascomycota; Sordariomycetes; Hypocreales; Hypocreaceae.
UCUAACAAGGUCUCCGUUGGUGAACCAGCGGAGGGAUCAUUA